Small nuclear RNA from Molossus molossus (Pallas's mastiff bat), 103 nucleotides. Lineage: Eukaryota; Metazoa; Chordata; Mammalia; Chiroptera; Molossidae. The record is from RefSeq and is a predicted model, not a curated record.
GUGCUCUUUGGCAACUCAUACACUAAACCUGGAACAGUACAGACCAUUAGCAUGGCCCCUGUGCAAGGCUAACAUGCAAAUUCAUGCAGCAUUUUAUAUUUUU